Molecule: ribosomal RNA, 468 nt
Filed under: uncultured bacterium
Lineage: Bacteria
Description: partial 16S ribosomal RNA
Rfam family: Bacterial small subunit ribosomal RNA
Source: RNAcentral
GACGAACGCUGGCGGCGCGCCUAACACAUGCAAGUCGAACGGAGCUGAGAGAAGCUUGCUUUUCUUAGCUUAGUGGCGAACGGGUGAGUAACGCGUGAGUAACCUGCCCUGGAGUGGGGGACAACAGUUGGAAACGACUGCUAAUACCGCAUAAGCCCACGAUCCGGCAUCGGAUUGAGGGAAAAGGAUUUAUUCGCUUCAGGAUGGACUCGCAUCCAAUUAGCUAGUUGGUGAGGUAACGGCCCACCAAGGCGACGAUUGGUAGCCGGACUGAGAGGUUGAACGGGCACAUUGGGAAUGAGACACGGCCCAGACUCCUACGGGAGGCAGCAGUGGGGGAUAUUGCACAAUGGGGGAAACCCCGAUGCAGCGACGCCGCGUGGAGGAAGAAGGUUUUCGGAUUGUAAACUCCUGUCGUUAGGGCCGAUAAUGACGGUACCUAACAAGAAAGCACCGGCUAACUACGUG